AUGAAGUCCCGGAGCUCCGCGAGGGGCGAGCCGAGGAGGUUCGGGAAUGUGGCUCUCCUGGCCCUCAUGCUCUGCUCCCUCGUCGCGCUCUCGCUCAUCCGGGCCAGGUUCUCCCCAAUCGGUAAUACGGCCGUUGCGGAGACCAUCAAAGUGGAGGAUCCGAAGCCCGUGGUGGUGAGCAAGCCGGCUGCCACGGCGGAGGCCGACGAGGCCGCCGCAGUAGCCGUGGAGGAAGACAAGGAGGAGGAAGCUCAGCCCAAGGAUGAGGAAAUUCAGCCCAAGACCGAGCAGGCCUUAGACGCCGCGGUGGCCGUUGAUGCCAGCAAGCCGAUGUGCUACGAGACGAGCCGGCGCUCCGACACCUGCGAGGCGGCCGGCGACGUGCGCCUGCUGGGGAGAAGCCAGACCAUCUACGUCGACACGCUGGAGCGGGAGUGGAAGACCAGGCCCUACUGCCGGAAGCACGACACGUACGCGCUGUCCCACGUCAAGGAGUGGUCCCUGAAGCCGUUCCCCUCCGGCGACGGCGCGGCGCCCAAGUGCACGUCCAACAGCUCGGCCACCGCCUUCGUGAUCUCGACGGGCGGGUUCACCGGCAACCCCUUCCACGACUACACGGACGUGCUCAUCCCGGCCUUCAUCACGGCCCACCGCUUCGCCGGCGAGGUCCAGUUCCUGGUGAGCAGCUACAAGUCGUGGUGGAUAAGCAGGUACAUCCAGAUCUUCCAGCAGAUGAGCCGGUACGAGGUGGUGGACAUCGACGCGGACGACGAGGUCCGGUGCUACCCGAGCGCCGUGGUCGGGCCGACGUUCCACAAGGAGCUGGGCGUGGAUCCCUCCAAGGCGCCUUCGGGCGUCUCGGUGGCGGACUUCCGCAAGAUGCUGCGCAGCGCGUUCGGGCUGGAGCGCGCCACGGCGACGCCGAGCGGCGACCGGUGGGACAUCCGCCGCCGGCCCCGGCUGCUGAUCAUCUCCCGGCGCACCUCACGCGGGCGGGCCUUCAUGAACGAGCGCGCCAUGGCGGACAUGGCGGGGAGCCUCGGGUUCGACGUCCGCAUCGGGGACCCGGACACGACCUCCGACACGUCCAAGUUCGCGCGGCUGGUGAACUCGUGCGACGUGAUGGUGGGCGUGCACGGCGCCGGGCUGACGAACAUGGUGUUCCUGCCGGCCGGCGCCGUGCUGGUGCAGGUGGUGCCGUACGGGCGGCUGGAGUGGCUGGCCCGCAACACGUUCGCGGAGCCGUCGGCGGGGAUGGAGGUGCACUACCUGGAGUACGUGGUGCAGCUGGACGAGACGACGCUGAGCGAGCAGUACCCCAGCGACCACCUGGUGCUCAAGGACCCCAUGGCCAUCCACAAGCAGGGGUGGGACGCGCUCAAGACCACCUACCUCGACAAGCAGAACGUCCGGCCGCACCUCGGCCGCCUCAAGAAGACCUUCCUCCAGGCGCUCAAGAUGCUGCCGCACGGCCGGGACGAUUAG
RNAcentral lists this ribosomal RNA (1485 nucleotides) under Triticum aestivum (bread wheat). Its description in RNAcentral is "partial small subunit ribosomal RNA". The record is from RNAcentral. Lineage: Eukaryota; Viridiplantae; Streptophyta; Magnoliopsida; Poales; Poaceae.